GGAGUCUGUAGCAGCAAUUUGCUGCGCUCGGUGAUGUCGCCUCCGAUAUGGUAGGGAAGGCCGCAGUUGGCAAACGAGACAAAUUCACCGCGCUCGAACAUGAUGAUUUCAGCAUCUUCGCUCAAGCGGCGGGCACGUGCGGCAGCGGAGGCUCCGCCUGCCACACCGC
This 169-nucleotide antisense RNA is filed under the name Photobacterium gaetbulicola Gung47. Its description in RNAcentral is "Photobacterium sp. Gung47 Vibrio RNA AS7". It matches the Rfam family "Vibrio RNA AS7". Rfam says of the family: Identified by direct cloning an parallel sequencing experiments with 5S/tRNA depletion. Lineage: Bacteria; Pseudomonadati; Pseudomonadota; Gammaproteobacteria; Vibrionales; Vibrionaceae. The record is from Rfam by way of RNAcentral.